Molecule: ribosomal RNA, 253 nt
Filed under: uncultured bacterium
Lineage: Bacteria
Description: partial 16S ribosomal RNA
Rfam family: Bacterial small subunit ribosomal RNA
Source: RNAcentral
UACGGGGGGGGUAAGCGUUGUUCGGAAUUACUGGGCGUAAAGGGCUCGUAGGCGGCCAACUAAGUCGGACGUGAAAUCCCUCAGCUUAACUGGGGAACUGCGUCCGAUACUGGAUGGCUUGGAUUUGGGAGAGGGAUGCGGAAUUCCAGGUGUAGCGGUGAAAUGCGUAGAUAUCUGGAGGAACACCGGUGGCGAAGGCGGCAUCCUGGACCAAUAUUGACGCUGAGGUGCGAAAGCGUGGGGAGCGAUCCGG